RNAcentral lists this long non-coding RNA (321 nucleotides) under Helianthus annuus (common sunflower). RNAcentral's name for it is "sRNA HanXRQr2_Chr15g0684301". Lineage: Eukaryota; Viridiplantae; Streptophyta; Magnoliopsida; Asterales; Asteraceae. The record is from RNAcentral.
GUUAUGUAUAUACAGCCGAACAAGAAAGUGCCCACCACUACACCGGACCGCAGAGACCGGAAGGGCAACCUAGUAACCCGGGAUAGCUGCAAAAUGGAAACCGUGUGCACCUCUCCAUGAAUAAUAUGCAAUUCGAGUCUCGUGAGCGUCCCAAGUCCAAACAGGCCAUAUGCUUGGGAUACGUCUCCUCCCAUGUAGCCUGUGAAGAUGGAUAAUGAAAGGAGUAGGAGCACACAUCCAAACAAGAGAAGAAAAAGUGCAAGCCCAAUGGAUUUCCAUGGGACUUUACCCGAUGUUUCUCCUGAGAAGUCAAACCUCGGG